This 390-nucleotide ribosomal RNA is filed under the name Staphylococcus aureus. RNAcentral's name for it is "partial 23S ribosomal RNA". It matches the Rfam family "Bacterial large subunit ribosomal RNA", at positions 1136 to 1529 of the family's 2925-position model. The record is from RNAcentral. Lineage: Bacteria; Bacillati; Bacillota; Bacilli; Caryophanales; Staphylococcaceae.
AAUAGCUCACUAGUCGAGUGACACUGCGCCGAAAAUGUACCGGGGCUAAACAUAUUACCGAAGCUGUGGAUUGUCCUUUGGACAAUGGUAGGAGAGCGUUCUAAGGGCGUUGAAGCAUGAUCGUAAGGACAUGUGGAGCGCUUAGAAGUGAGAAUGCCGGUGUGAGUAGCGAAAGACGGGUGAGAAUCCCGUCCACCGAUUGACUAAGGUUUCCAGAGGAAGGCUCGUCCGCUCUGGGUUAGUCGGGUCCUAAGCUGAGGCCGACAGGCGUAGGCGAUGGAUAACAGGUUGAUAUUCCUGUACCACCUAUAAUCGUUUUAAUCGAUGGGGGGACGCAGUAGGAUAGGCGAAGCGUGCGAUUGGAUUGCACGUCUAAGCAGUAAGGCUGAG